CCUACGGGUGGCAGCAGUGGGGAAUAUUGGGCAAUGGGCGCAAGCCUGACCCAGCAACGCCGCGUGAAGGAAGAAGGCUUUCGGGUUGUAAACCUCUUUUAUCAGGGACGAAGAAAGUGACGGUACCUGAUGAAUAAGCCACGGCUAACUACGUGCCAGCAGCCGCGGUAAUACGUAGGUGGCAAGCGUUAUCCGGAUUUACUGGGUGUAAAGGGCGUGUAGGCGGGAGUGCAAGUCCGCUGUGAAAACUAUGGGCUCAACCCAUAGCCUGCAGUUGAAACUGUAGUUCUUGAGUGCUGGAGAGGCAAGCGGAAGGCCGGGUGUAGCGGUGAAAUGCGUAGAUAUACCGAGGAACACCAGUGGCGAAGGCGGAUUACUGGACAGUAACUGACGCUGAGGCGCGAAAGCGUGGGGAGCAAACAGGAUUAGAUACCCCAGUAGUC
This 443-nucleotide ribosomal RNA is filed under the name uncultured bacterium. Its description in RNAcentral is "partial 16S ribosomal RNA". It matches the Rfam family "Bacterial small subunit ribosomal RNA", at positions 338 to 795 of the family's 1533-position model. The record is from RNAcentral.